Molecule: ribosomal RNA, 482 nt
Filed under: uncultured Enterobacter sp.
Lineage: Bacteria; Pseudomonadati; Pseudomonadota; Gammaproteobacteria; Enterobacterales; Enterobacteriaceae
Description: bacterial SSU rRNA
Rfam family: Bacterial small subunit ribosomal RNA
Source: RNAcentral
CUGGGGCAGCUACCAUGCAGUCGAGCGGUAACACAGGGAGCUUGCUCCCGGGUGACGAGCGGCGGACGGGUGAGUAAUGUCUGGGAAACUGCCUGAUGGAGGGGGAUAACUACUGGAAACGGUAGCUAAUACCGCAUAACGUCGCAAGACCAAAGAGGGGGACCUUCGGGCCUCUUGCCAUCAGAUGUGCCCAGAUGGGAUUAGCUAGUAGGUGGGGUAACGGCUCACCUAGGCGACGAUCCCUAGCUGGUCUGAGAGGAUGACCAGCCACACUGGAACUGAGACACGGUCCAGACUCCUACGGGAGGCAGCAGUGGGGAAUAUUGCACAAUGGGCGCAAGCCUGAUGCAGCCAUGCCGCGUGUAUGAAGAAGGCCUUCGGGUUGUAAAGUACUUUCAGCGGGGAGGAAGGUGUUGAGGUUAAUAACCUCAGCAAUUGACGUUACCCGCAGAAGAAGCACCGGCUAACUCCGUGCCAGACGC